This 131-nucleotide small nuclear RNA is filed under the name Crocodylus porosus (Australian saltwater crocodile). RNAcentral's name for it is "U4 spliceosomal RNA (ENSCPRG00005002589.1)". It matches the Rfam family "U4 spliceosomal RNA". Rfam says of the family: U4 small nuclear RNA (U4 snRNA) is a component of the major U2-dependent spliceosome. Lineage: Eukaryota; Metazoa; Chordata; Crocodylia; Crocodylidae. The record is from Rfam by way of RNAcentral.
CUGCUUACACAGUGGCAGUAUCAUAGGCAAUGAGGUCAAGCUGAGGUUUGAUUAUUGCUAGUUGAAAAUUUGUCCCUAUUCCUGCUCAUUUCACGUUCUUAAAGCACUAACGCAUUUGUCCUCCCAAAGGG